Molecule: ribosomal RNA, 659 nt
Filed under: uncultured archaeon
Lineage: Archaea
Description: bacterial SSU rRNA
Rfam family: Archaeal small subunit ribosomal RNA
Source: RNAcentral
CCGACGGUGAGGGGUGAAGGCUGGGGGCGCAAACCGGAUUAGGUACCCGGGUAGUCCCACAGUAAACGAUGCCAGCUAUGUGUGCUGGAACAUGGGUCCAGCAGUGCCGAAGGGAAGCCGUGAAGCUGGCCACCUGGGAAGUACGGUCGCAAGGCUGAAACUUAAAGGAAUUGGCGGGGGAGUACCACAACCGGUGGAGCCUGCGGUUUAAUUGGAUACAACGCCGGGAAUCUUACCGGAGGGGACAGCAGUAUGAAGGCCAGGCUAAAGACCUUGCCAGAUCAGCUGAGAGGAGGUGCAUGGCCGUCGCCAGUUCGUACCGUGAGGCAUCCUGUUUAGUCAGGCAACGAUCGAGACCCGCAGUCUUAUUUGCCAGCAUGCCCUUUGGGGUGUAUGGGUACAAUAAGACGACCGCCAGCGCUAAGCUGGAGGAAGGAGCGGGCUACGGUAGGUCAGCAUGCCCCGAAUCCUCCGGGAUACACGCGGGCUACAAUGGUCAGGACAAAAGGUACCGACCUCGAAAGAGUGAGGUAAUCCACAAACCUGAUCUCAGUCCGGAUCGAAGGCUGCAACUCGCCUUCGUGAAGAUGGAAUCGGUAGUAAUCGUGACUCAAAAUGUCACGGUGAAUAUGUCCCUGCUCCUUGCACACACCGCCCGU